Molecule: ribosomal RNA, 235 nt
Filed under: uncultured bacterium
Lineage: Bacteria
Description: partial 16S ribosomal RNA
Rfam family: Bacterial small subunit ribosomal RNA
Source: RNAcentral
UGGCGGACGGGGGAGUAAUGUCUGGGAAACUGCCUGAUGGAGGGGGGUAACUACUGGAAACGGUAGCUAAUACCGCAUAACGUCGCAAGACCAAAGAGGGGGACCUUAGGGCCUCUUGCCAUCGGAUGUGCCCAAAUGGGAUUAGCUAGUAGGUGGGGUAACGGCUCACCUAGGCGACGAUCCCUAGCUGGUCUGAGAGGAUGACCAGCCACACUGGAACUGAGACACGGUCCAG